This 522-nucleotide ribosomal RNA is filed under the name Abdopus sp. 'ward'. Its description in RNAcentral is "partial 16S ribosomal RNA". It matches the Rfam family "Bacterial large subunit ribosomal RNA", at positions 1813 to 2597 of the family's 2925-position model. Lineage: Eukaryota; Metazoa; Mollusca; Cephalopoda; Octopoda; Octopodidae. The record is from RNAcentral.
GAGAGUCUCUUUGAUUAUAUUUAAUAAAGAGUCGGGCCUGCUCGGUGAUUAAUAUUUAACAGCUGCGGUAUUAUAACUGUACUAAGGUAGCAUAAUAAUUUGCUCUAUAAAUUGGGGCUAGAAUGAAUGGUUUGACGAAAAUUGAACUGUCUCUAUUUUAUUUAUUAGAAAUUAAUUGUUAUAGUGAGAAAGCUUGGAUAAUUUAAAGGGACGAGAAGACCCUAUUGAGCUUGUGUUAAAAAAAUAAAUAUUAUAUAAUAUGAUGUUUAUUUCUGUUAAAUUUGGUUGGGGUGAUCAAGGAAUAAUAAAAAUUUAUGUAGUAGAUUAACUUCCUUAUAUAGUAAUAUUAAUAGGUAAAUAAACCAAAUUUUUUGCUUAUAAGAUAAGUUACCUUAGGGAUAACAGCGUAAUUUUUUUUGAGAGUUCAUAUUGAAAAAAGAGAUUGCGACCUCGAUGUUGGAUUAAAAUAACCUUAAGGUGUAGAGGCUUUAUUAGGUAAAUCUGUUCGAUUUUUAAAAUUUU